This 440-nucleotide ribosomal RNA is filed under the name uncultured bacterium. RNAcentral's name for it is "partial 16S ribosomal RNA". It matches the Rfam family "Bacterial small subunit ribosomal RNA", at positions 338 to 795 of the family's 1533-position model. The record is from RNAcentral.
CCUACGGGAGGCAGCAGUAGGGAAUAUUGCUCAAUGGGGGAAACCCUGAAGCAGCAACGCCGCGUGGAGGAUGAAGGUUUUAGGAUUGUAAACUCCUUUUGUGAGAGAAGAUAAUGACGGUAUCUCACGAAUAAGCACCGGCUAACUCCGUGCCAGCAGCCGCGGUAAUACGGAGGGUGCAAGCGUUACUCGGAAUCACUGGGCGUAAAGAGUGCGCAGGCGGGCUUGUAAGUCAGAUGUGAAAUCCUGUAGCUUAACUACAGAACUGCAUUUGAAACUAUGAGUCUAGAGUGUGGGAGAGGUAGGUGGAAUGCUUGGUGUAGGGGUAAAAUGCGUAGAUAUUAAGAGGAAUACUCAUUGCGAAGGCGACCUACUGGAACAUUACUGACGCUCAUGCACGAAAGCGUGGGGAGCAAACAGGAUUAGAUACCCUUGUAGUC